AGGGGCAGUGCUGGAUCCUGGGCUGUGUCCCCCAGCGCCCUGUGUUCCCGGGCCUGCACUGUUGGAAUCUCGCUCCUGGGCCGCGCAGCCCCCU
This 94-nucleotide microRNA precursor is filed under the name Canis lupus familiaris (dog). RNAcentral's name for it is "mir-8799 microRNA precursor family". It matches the Rfam family "mir-8799 microRNA precursor family". The record is from Rfam by way of RNAcentral. Lineage: Eukaryota; Metazoa; Chordata; Mammalia; Carnivora; Canidae. RNAcentral also lists the same sequence under 1 other name.